GACGAACGCUGGCGGCGUGCUUAACACAUGCAAGUCGAACGGAAAGGCCCUGCUUUUGUGGGGUGCUCGAGUGGCGAACGGGUGAGUAACACGUGAGUAACCUGCCCUUGACUUUGGGAUAACUUCAGGAAACUGGGGCUAAUACCGGAUAGGAGCUCCUGCUGCAUGGUGGGGGUUGGAAAGUUUCGGCGGUUGGGGAUGGACUCGCGGCUUAUCAGCUUGUUGGUGGGGUAGUGGCUUACCAAGGCUUUGACGGGUAGCCGGCCUGAGAGGGUGACCGGCCACAUUGGGACUGAGGUACGGCCCAGAAUGCUACGGGAGGCAGCAGUGGGGAAUAUUGCACAAUGGGGGGAAGCCUGAUGCGGCAACGCCGGGUGCGGGAUGACGGCCUUCGGGUUGAAAACCGAUGUCGCCGGUGACGAAGCGUGAGUGACGGUAAUGAGUAAAGAAGCACCGGCUAACUACGUG
This 468-nucleotide ribosomal RNA is filed under the name uncultured bacterium. RNAcentral's name for it is "partial 16S ribosomal RNA". It matches the Rfam family "Bacterial small subunit ribosomal RNA", at positions 28 to 507 of the family's 1533-position model. The record is from RNAcentral.